Pelobates cultripes (western spadefoot toad) is the source of this 408-nucleotide non-coding RNA. The record is from the annotation of a GenBank genome assembly. NCBI's taxonomy places the organism in Eukaryota, Metazoa, Chordata, Amphibia, Anura, Pelobatidae.
GUCUACUUGAAAAAUCUUUUACUCAUCUACAAAAGCUAAUGAAAAAACUGCUAAAUAGAUUCAAAAUUUUGCCCUGAGUUUAAAAAUACCCAGUGUUUACAUGCUUUUUUGCUUUUUUUGCAAGUUAUAGGGCUAUAAGUACAAGUAGGAAAUUGCAGUUUCAAAACAUACAUUUUUAAAAUUUAUCAAUAGUGACAUUGUAACACUAUUAUCUGUCAUAAAUCUCUGAAUCACACCCCACAUGUACAUAUUUUUUUAAAGUAGACAACCCAGGGUAUUCAAUAUGGGGUAUGUCCAGUCUUUUUUAGUAGCCACUUAGUCACAAACACUAGCCAAAGUUAGCGUUCAUAUUUGUUUGAGUGUGAAAAAAAGUAAAAAAACUAAAUUAAACGCUAAUUUUGGCCAGUG